RNAcentral lists this long non-coding RNA (3746 nucleotides) under Homo sapiens (human). RNAcentral describes it as "HSALNT0201574". The record is from RNAcentral. Lineage: Eukaryota; Metazoa; Chordata; Mammalia; Primates; Hominidae.
UCCCCGGCCCCACUGCCCCUCUGCACCUCUGCCCACAGCGCGCCCACAGAAGGGGGUGGUCCGCGCCCCUCGACGGGGCCGAGCCCUGGAGAGUGCCCCGGCCCUCAGUCCCAGCCUAACGGUUUCCGCGGCGCCUCCUCCGGGGCGGGACGGGGUUGGGACGGCUCGGUGUCCCCCGCCUUUCGCGGAGGGAGUGCCCGCGCUCUCACCUCCGAGUCACGCCGUUCUGAGGCAGAAGGCGGCUCCUCUGGCGCCUCUUCUUAGGGUUCCUGAUCGUUGUCUCUCUACCUCAGCUGCAGAGUCAGCUCUCAGGGCCGCCGCGGCCGCCGGCGCGCUGACUGUUGGGGUUGUUUCCUGGCAGUGACGCCGCCGCCUCAGCCCCGCUCUUCGCUCCCUCUCCGCGUAGCUCCCGCUUUCUGUUUCACCCGAGGGACCACGAACGCCGCCGCCGCCAUGCUUACUACGGAGCCGGGAGGAGGAGCCCGAAGUCGGCGCGCCGAGUGCGGCUGCGCGGGCCCCGCCGACGGAGCCCGCGGCCGGGACCCCGAACCCCCGCCUCGAGCCCGCCGCGCCGGGGCUCUCUCACCGGAACGCGAGUCCCCGCGGGGCCACCGGCGCGUGGCGGCUGAGCGGCCGCGUUUGGCUCCCGGAGCGCCCACACCCUCUCGGGCUUCCGGCUUUCUCCCGAGGCCCGGCUGCGCCUGGCUUGUGGUAGCAUCCGCUGUGGCCAGGCUCGGAGCUACACUCAGGAAAAGUGGAGUUAAUGGAGGUUCCUAGAGACACUCACACAAUUCUCAAUCCACAUUUCAAAAGGCUCCCCUGAGACGCACCCUGUCGGCCCCUUUCCGAAAGCACGCGAACUUAAGGCUGGCAGGUGCUUUAAAAGACACUCCUCCCAAGGACUAGGAAGCCUCUGAAAUGGGCUUGGAAGUUUCUAAUCCCAAAGACUUCGAACCCAGGAUCUGGAUAGCAAGCAAAAAUAUUUAGAUAUUUACUCAGUUGAAAACGUGGGGGGUGGCUUCGUGGUCUCUUCGCCAGCCAAAUCGCGUGGAAAACCACGACCUCAAUUUUUACAACAGCACGAAGACUUACAAGUGAGCGUAGCAGCGACUUCCUGGAACCUCAAACAAUGUGGGACGCUGCAAUAAUGCCUGAGGGCUUUUGACUUACAGUUGCCGCCGGAGACCUGGGGAGGGGGUAGUACUUGGGCCGGUGAGUCCAGCCUCAGGAACUGUCCUUUCAAAAAUGGUGAUGGAUGUAACAAGUUGCAUGUCUGGGCUUUAUUUCAGUGUAUUAAUUGUGCGAUCUUUUAAAAUAGCUGUAUUUUUAAAACUGUUUUACAGAAAUCUCUUUAAAAUGUGAUUAUUCUCUAUAUUCUUAAAGAAUACAAUGGCUAAUUAAAUCCUUUGUUGAUAACUGACUCUCAAACCGAUAUCUUGGCCAUACGUUUAAGUCCCAGAGGAUUGCUGCGGUGUAUAGAAUCCCUACUUUGGUGCUCUCUUUUUUUCCCUCUUUGGAAUGUUCUCAUCACCUCUUCUAAAAUCCUUCACUGCUUUUCAUCUCCUCAUCUGCCUCUAUCCACUCUGAUCCUUCCUCUUAUUCUUUCUGCUUUACUGUUUAUUUUUCAUUCUUCUCUCCUUUCUCGGCUGGUUUUCUCUGCGGCUCCAGGUGAAGAUUGAUGGGAUGUUUAUGUCCACAGCCAGCUAAUGAGAGGUUUCUUUUCUUCUGGUUGUAAAUAGGGCAGUGGUAUCUUGAGAUAUUUUCAUUGCUCUUCACUAUCAGAAGUUCUUUCCCUGUGAGAGAUGUUUCCUUUUCUUAACUUUUGGAUUUGGCCCUCUUCGAGACAGCUGGCAAGUUGAUCUUGGAAUAAUUGAAGUAUAACUGUAUAUUGUUUCAAAGUAUGAGGAUUUUAUCAGAGUGUGGGCGAAUGGGGUGGCUUCCCCAUCUUACUGCCCAACUAUGCUUGGUCUGAGACUAAGAUAGUGGUUUCCAAACUUACCGCUAAGCUAAUACUUUCCUACUCUGCUUCCUACUCAGGAGCUUUUUGAAAAUACAGAAUCCUGCAAUCUACCCCCUCAAGAUUCUGAUUCCUUUGUCCAGGGAGAGGCCAAGACAUGGCACUUUUAAAAACUAUAUUUAAAAAAAUAUGUUUGGGACAUGCCUACAUGUAAAGGCAGAGUAAAGAAGAUCAGCUGUUUUUGAAGGAGAUUAACACAUAAUUUAAGAAUGUUAUUGAAGACCUAGAGAUUGUAGUCAAUAAUAUGCAAUGCAGUAAGGUGAAGUAAAGUGAAGACCAAGGAAUUUAUGGCCUUUGGAGAGAAGAAAACCCACACAUAAAUGACCCUAGCAUGUGCACCAGUAUGAGUUCUCUGGGAACAGAGAGAGGGUCAAGAAAUUAUGUUGGCUUUGAACAAGUUCUCUUCUCAAUGCUUCACUUUUUUUUUAUCAAUAAAAUGGGAGCCAUUUUCAAUCCUCAUCUUUCUUGGCCUCUCAACAAUACUCAACACUUUGACCACUAUUCUUUCUUAAACAUUUCUUCUUCCUUUGACACUGCAUUUUCUUGGUUUUCCUCCUUAGUUUCCUAGGCACUGCUUCUCUGAUUCCUUUGCAUAUUCCUGCUGGUCUCCCUAACUAUUAAAUAUAACAGUACCUUAAAAUUCAGUUUUAGAUUCUUUUCUGUUUUCAUUGUAAUCUCUUGGCCUAAGCAGCAUCACCCACGCCAAUGGCUUUAGUUAUCAUCUAUAUGCCAGUGAUCUCCACAUAUAUGCCUCCAGCCCAGACCUUUCCUCUAAAUUCCAAAUCUGAUCCACUAGUCAAAGUUUGACCCUACCUCUAAAUUCCAAGCUUCACUGACAUGGCCACUUAAUAUCUCAAAGUUGCAAAGUUUAGUCCAACUGAGUUCAUGAACACUUGUUUUCCUUAUCCCCCAUCUCUCUAGUUAUUCAAAUCAAAUAUCUAGUAGUCAGUAACCGCUGAUGUCUCCCUCACCUCCAUUCUUCCAUUCUCCAUAUUUGUUGCAGCACUAACUCCUGGCAAUUUUAUUUCUAAAAUCUAAUUGGUCUACUUCUUUCCAAUCACCACCAAUCUAAUUCGAUCUCACUGUAUACAAUCUGGGAUCCUCCAUUCAGUCUCCAUUUUGCAGCCAAAAUUAUCCUCUAAGAAAGCAAAUGAGACUAUGUCACUACUCCAAAAAUCUCCUUAAACAGUUUCUCAUUGCUUUAGGAUAAGUCUAGAAUUCUUAAGGCAGCCUAAAAGACCAUACGAGGUCUGGCCUUACCUGCCUUUUCCAGCCUCAUCUCACACCAUUUUCACCUUGUUUCCUGGGCAGACUUCCUGGUCUUCUUUUAGUUUCUCAAAAAUGCUAUGAUCCCAACAACCAAAGGCUCUAUGUACAUGCCAUUCUCUCCUUUAGUUAUCCUAUCUCUUACUCAUCCUUCAGGUCUCAGCUUGAAAGCGACAUCCUUGGGAAAAACAUUUCUGACCUCCCAGAUACAUUCAAGAUACCUUGUUAUGUCAGCUCUCUUACCACCAUAUACCCUCCCCUCUUAUGACUUACCACAGCUUGUAACUACAUUUUGGUAUGUGUAACUACUAGGUUAAUGUCUGUUGCUCCCCACAUUAGGAUAAAGACCAUGUCUAUUUGGGCCUGCACAGUGCCUGGCACAUAGAAGCUACCCAAUAAAUAUUUCUUGAAUGAUUAUUGUCCUAUGAGUUUAUUUCUGGGAUUCUAGAAGGUUGUUAGAUCG